RNAcentral lists this long non-coding RNA (1224 nucleotides) under Vulpes vulpes (red fox). Its description in RNAcentral is "lncRNA (ENSVVUG00000001232.1)". The record is from RNAcentral. Lineage: Eukaryota; Metazoa; Chordata; Mammalia; Carnivora; Canidae.
UUAUAAUUAAAAGACCUCUCUAAAUCGAGUUGACUCUUUUAGGGCAUAUGUCUGAAAAUGAUGUUUUACUGCAUUUCUCACUAGCUUGUCUCUUUUGUCUAUUGCUUCUUUUGGUUUUAGGUCUUGUCGUUCAUAUGCUUUGUUAUUUUUUAUAGAGUAUGCGAGUAUGCUUGGUAUUGAAAACACAAAUUCUAAAGACAAAUUGAAGCUCUGCUUGAUGUUAUAAUCCUCCAGAGAGUUUAUAGUUGCUUCUUACAGGCAAGUAGUCUUAUGCGAUUGCAUCCAAGUUCUCCAUUAUCCAAUCAAGGAUAAGGUGAGUCAAAGGUGAGUUUUAGUUCUGAUGAAUAAAAUUUAGUUCUAUUCUUAGAGAAAGAUAGGAAUACACGGUUUCGAUUAAAUCCUGUAGUCUUUAACAACGGCCUUUUUCUAUUUGGUAGGUUUGGAAUUCUACUUCCCACUCUGCUCUAUGAGUCAGUGGAACACUAGUUUCUCAGCAUCUCAGAUGUCUCUAAAGUAACCUGCAAAAGUUGUGAAUACUGCUACUAAUAGAAAGAUAAUGAUGGGUCAUUUGGAUCUGAAAGUGACUUGUGCCAAUGACAAGUGCUGCCUCUUAGCAAUGACUUUAAAAUUCAUGUGUGGUUCCUCCAAUGUUUUUUUUUUUCUUUCAGCCAUACUUUUCCUAAAAUGUCUGCUCUUUCAACGAAGACCUCAUGUAUCAGUCAGUGGUACCCUGCAGCCAAGCUAACAGUCAAGGGUAAUAAUGGAAACAAGAGGAUGGUUGGAGCUGAGAUUGAUGGAGCUGAGAAACUUACUUUGAACAAUCCUGAAGAGAUGGAGGCAGGUGAUUCUCAGCAUGGUAGAGAAAGAAAUAGCAGCCCAGAGCAGAAGCAGGAAGGCACUCAGGUAAGAAGAAACUUUGUUUUGUCUCUGGGUAAAGAAAUUGGGAAGAGUCGUGACAGAAGAGGAAUUGGUUUUUUUCUUCAUUGAGUAAGGUUUGUCCUGUUUAGUAUUAUUAAAAACCACGGUGUAUUAUUUUUCCAACUGUACAUAUAAUAAUAGGUGAAAAAUUCCCAACAUAGUUUUGUGACCCUUAUCAUUUUACAUGAGUCCAGAUCUUUCUUAUCUUUAUAGAUUCAGGUUACUUCUUAUAUUUUAUUCCAUUCUUUCUCCAAUUUUUAAAAAUUUCACUUAACAUUAAGAUAUUUCUCAGAAAAUAAAAUAAAA